AACUUUUUGAAUCCGUGCUGAGAUUUUGUCAGACACCAACCCAUUAGGGCUGAUCAGACUUCCAGCGCUUAAUAUAAGUG
RNAcentral lists this microRNA precursor (80 nucleotides) under Schistosoma mattheei. Its description in RNAcentral is "mir-3492 microRNA precursor family". It matches the Rfam family "mir-3492 microRNA precursor family". Lineage: Eukaryota; Metazoa; Platyhelminthes; Trematoda; Strigeidida; Schistosomatidae. The record is from Rfam by way of RNAcentral.